UACGAAGGGGGCUAGCGUUGCUCGGAAUCACUGGGCGUAAAGCGCACGUAGGCGGAUUGUUAAGUCAGGGGUGAAAUCCUGGAGCUCAACUCCAGAACUGCCUUUGAUACUGGCGAUCUUGAGUCCGGGAGAGGUGAGUGGAACUGCGAGUGUAGAGGUGAAAUUCGUAGAUAUUCGCAAGAACACCAGUGGCGAAGGCGGCUCACUGGCCCGAUACUGACGCUGAGGCACGAAAGCGUGGGGAGCAAACAGGG
This 254-nucleotide ribosomal RNA is filed under the name uncultured bacterium. RNAcentral's name for it is "partial 16S ribosomal RNA". It matches the Rfam family "Bacterial small subunit ribosomal RNA", at positions 524 to 777 of the family's 1533-position model. The record is from RNAcentral.